UACAGGGGGUGCAAACGUUGCUCGGAAUCAUUGGGCGUAAAGCGUGCGUAGGCGGUCUUGUAAGUUUGGUGUGAAAUCUCCCGGCUCAACUGGGAGGGUGCGCCGAAAACUGCAAGGCUGGAGUAUGGGAGAGGUAGGCGGAAUUCCUGGUGUAGCGGUGAAAUGCGUAGAUAUCAGGAGGAACACCUGUGGUGUAGACGGCUUACUGGACCAUGACUGACGCUGAGGCACGAAAGCGUGGGGAGCAAACAGG
This 253-nucleotide ribosomal RNA is filed under the name uncultured bacterium. Its description in RNAcentral is "partial 16S ribosomal RNA". It matches the Rfam family "Bacterial small subunit ribosomal RNA", at positions 524 to 776 of the family's 1533-position model. The record is from RNAcentral.